CCCGGGACCUUGGUCCAGGCGCUGGUCUGCGUGGUGCUCGGGUGGAUAAGUCUGAUCUGAGCACCACACAGGCCGGGCGCCGGGACCAAGGGGGCUC
RNAcentral lists this microRNA precursor (97 nucleotides) under Homo sapiens (human). RNAcentral's name for it is "microRNA hsa-mir-3663 precursor". The record is from miRBase by way of RNAcentral. Lineage: Eukaryota; Metazoa; Chordata; Mammalia; Primates; Hominidae.